UACUACUGACUGACCGAUAGUGAACCAGUACCGUGAGGGAAAGGCGAAAAGAACCCCUGUGAGGGGAGUGAAAUAGAACCUGAAACCGUGUACGUACAAGCAGUAGGAGCACCUUUGUGGUGUGACUGCGUACCUUUUGUAUAAUGGGUCAGCGACUUAUAUUCAGUGGCAAGGUUAACCAUCUAGGGGAGCCGUAGGGAAACCGAGUCUUAACUGGGCGUUCAGUCUCUG
Molecule: ribosomal RNA, 231 nt
Filed under: Vibrio parahaemolyticus
Lineage: Bacteria; Pseudomonadati; Pseudomonadota; Gammaproteobacteria; Vibrionales; Vibrionaceae
Description: partial 23S ribosomal RNA
Rfam family: Bacterial large subunit ribosomal RNA
Source: RNAcentral